AGUCGAGGGGCAGCGGGGGCGAAGCUUGCUUCGCCUGCCGGCGACCGGCGCACGGGUGAGUAACACGUAUGCGACCUGCCCCCCGCAGGGGGAUAACCGGGAGAAAUCCCGACUAAUACCGCGUAACGCCGCGGGGCUGCAUGGCCCCGCGGCCAAAGGAAGCGAUUCCGGCGGGGGAUGGGCAUGCGGCGCAUUAGCUAGUCGGCGGGGUAACGGCCCACCGAGGCGACGAUGCGUAGGGGUACUGAGAGGAAGGUCCCCCACACUGGUACUGAGACACGGACCAGACUCCUACGGGAGGCAGCAGUGAGGAAUAUUGGUCAAUGGGCGGGAGCUUGAACCAGCCAAGUCGCGUGAGGGAAGACGGUCCUACGGAUUGUAAACCUCUUUUGCCGGGGAGCAACGGGGUCCUUGCGAGGGUCUGAUGAGAGUACCCGGAGAAAAAGCAUCGGCUAACUCCGUGCCAGCAGCCGCGGUAAUACGGAGGAUGCGAGCGUUAUCCGGAUUUAUUGGGUUUAAAGGGUGCGUAGGCGGGCUGUUAAGUCAGCGGUCAAAUGUCGGGGCUCAACCCCGGCCUGCCGUUGAAACUGGCGGCCUCGAGUGGGCGAGAAGUAUGCGGAAUGCGUGGUGUAGCGGUGAAAUGCAUAGAUAUCACGCAGAACUCCGAUUGCGAAGGCAGCAUACCGGCGCCCGACUGACGCUGAGGCACGAAAGCGUGGGUAUCGAACAGGAUUAGAUACCCUGGUAGUCCACGCAGUAAACGAUGAAUGCUAGCUGUCCGGGGCUUCGGCUCUGGGUGGCACAGCGAAAGCGUUAAGCAUUCCACCUGGGGAGUACGCCGGCAACGGUGAAACUCAAAGGAAUUGACGGGGGCCCGCACA
This 881-nucleotide ribosomal RNA is filed under the name uncultured bacterium. RNAcentral's name for it is "bacterial SSU rRNA". It matches the Rfam family "Bacterial small subunit ribosomal RNA", at positions 60 to 927 of the family's 1533-position model. The record is from RNAcentral.